GAUCAUUCAAUCGGUAGCAGUGACGGGCGGUGUGUACAAAGGGCAGGGACGUAGUCAAUGCGAGCUGAUGACUCGCGCUUACUAGGAAUUCCUCGUUGAAGACUAACAAUUGCAAUGAUCUAUCCCCAUCACGAUGAAAUUUCAAAGAUUACCCGGGCCUGUCGGCCAAGGCUAUAAACUCGUUGAAUACAUCAGUGUAAAGGGCAGGGACGUAGUCAAUGCGAGCUGAUGACUCGCGCUUACUAGGAAUUCCUCGUUGAAGACCAACAAUUGCAAUGAUGUUUCCCCAUUAUGAUGAUAUUUCAAUGAUUACCAGGGCCUGUCGGCCAAGGCUAUGAACUCGUUGAAUAUAUCAGUGUAGCGCGCAUGCGGCCCAGAACAUCUAAG
Molecule: long non-coding RNA, 387 nt
Filed under: Nicotiana benthamiana
Lineage: Eukaryota; Viridiplantae; Streptophyta; Magnoliopsida; Solanales; Solanaceae
Description: long non-coding RNA (NBEN_LNC017510)
Source: RNAcentral